This 433-nucleotide ribosomal RNA is filed under the name uncultured bacterium. Its description in RNAcentral is "partial 16S ribosomal RNA". It matches the Rfam family "Bacterial small subunit ribosomal RNA", at positions 29 to 507 of the family's 1533-position model. The record is from RNAcentral.
AACGAACGCUGGCGGCAUGCCUAACACAUGCAAGUCGAACGAGACCUUCGGGUCUAGUGGCGCACGGGUGCGUAACGCGUGGGAAUCUGCCCUUGGGUUCGGAAUAACAGUUGGAAACGACUGCUAAUACCGGAUGAUGACGUAAGUCCAAAGAUUUAUCGCCCAGGGAUGAGCCCGCGUAGGAUUAGCUAGUUGGUGGGGUAAAGGCCUACCAAGGCGACGAUCCUUAGCUGGUCUGAGAGGAUGAUCAGCCACACUGGGACUGAGACACGGCCCAGACUCCUACGGGAGGCAGCAGUGGGGAAUAUUGGACAAUGGGCGAAAGCAUGAUCCAGCAAUGCCGCGUGAGUGAUGAAGGCCUUAGGGUUGUAAAGCUCUUUUACCCGGGAUGAUAAUGACAGUACCGGGAGAAUAAGCCCCGGCUAACUCCGUG